RNAcentral lists this long non-coding RNA (1512 nucleotides) under Zonotrichia albicollis (white-throated sparrow). Its description in RNAcentral is "lncRNA (ENSZALG00000001900.1)". The record is from RNAcentral. Lineage: Eukaryota; Metazoa; Chordata; Aves; Passeriformes; Passerellidae.
UUUUGGGAUCACAGCUGGAAUUGCAGGACAAUCAUACCCAGAUUUUGGGGUCACAUCUGGAAUUCCAGGGCAACUGUACCCAUAUUUUGGGAUCACACCUGGAAUUGCAGAGCAGCUGUACCCAGAUUUUGGGACCAGAUUUUGGGACCAGGUGGAAUUCCAGGGCAGCUGCACUCAGAUUUUGAUUUUGGGAUCACACCUGGAAUUGCAGGGCAGCUGCACCCAGAUUUUGGGAUCACAAUUGCAGGGCAAUCAUACCCAGAUUUUGGGAUCACAGCUGGAAUUGCAGGGCAGCUGUACCCAGAUUUUGGGAUCACAUCUGCAAUUCCAGGGCAGCUGGGACCAGAUUUUGGGACCAGAUUUUGGGACCAGGUGGUACCCAGAUUUUGGGACCACCUGGAAUUCCAGGGCAGCUGCACUCAGAUUUUGAUUUUGGGAUCACAGCUGGAAUUGCAGGGCAAUCAUACCCAGAUUUUGGGGUCACAUCUGGAAUUGCAGGGCAGUCAUACCCAGAUUUUGGGAUCACAAUUGCAGGGCAGCUGUACCCAGAUUUUGGGAUCACACCUGGAAUUGCAGGGCAGACAUACCCAGAUUUUGGGAUCACAUCUGGAAUUCCAGGGCAGCUGUACCCAGAUUCUGGGAUCACAAUUGCAGGGCAGUCAUACCCAGAUUUUGGGGUCACAUCUGGAGUUCCAGGGCAGCUGUACCCAGAUUUUGGGAUCACAAUUGCAGGGCAGUCAUACCCAGAUUUUGGGAUCACAAUUGCAGGGCAGCUGCACCCAGAUUUUGAUUUUGGGGUCACAUCUGGAAUUCCAGGGCAGCUGCACCCAGAUUUUGGGAUCACAAUUGCAGGGCAGUCAUACCCAGAUUUUGGGAUCACACCUGGAAUUGCAGGGCAGCUGCACCCAGAUUUUGGGAUCACAAUUGCAGGGCAAUCAUAGCCAGAUUUUGGGGUCACAGCUGGAAUUGCAGGGCAGCUGUACCCAGAUUUUGGGAUUACAAUUCCAGGGCAGCUGCACCCAGAUUUUGAUUUUGGGAUCACACCUGGAAUUGCAGGGCAGUCAUACCCAGAUUUUGGGGUCACAUCUGGAAUUCCAGGGCAACUGUACCCAGAUUUUGGGGUCACAUCUGGAAUUCCAGGGCAGUCAUACCCAGAUUUUGGGAUCACAUCUGGAAUUGCAGGGCAGCUGUACCCAGAUUUUGGGAUCACAAUUGCAGGGCAGUCAUACCCAGAUUUUGGGAUCACAGCUGGAAUUGCAGAGCAGCUGUACCCAGAUUUUGGGAACAGGUGGUACCCAGAUUUUGGGACCACCUGGAAUUCCAGGGCAGUUGCACCCAGAUUUUGAUUUUGGGAUCACAGCUGGAAUUGCAGGGCAGUCAUACCCAGAUUUUGGGAUCACACCUGGAAUUCCAGGGCAGUCAUACCCAGAUUUUGGGGUCACAUCUGGAACUCCUGCACUGCCUGCCCAAAGCCACAAAAGCAGCAGGGAAACGCACCUGGCACACAGGUAG